GGCGACAGUAGUUGUCUGGUGGUCGUGGUGAUGUUUUCAAGAAGCGCCAAUCACCAAACAAAACAAGCCGUGCAAACCUUCACCACAAGCCCCUACACUGCCUUAUCUUCAUCAAUUAAAGGCUCAAACGUGUAUAUGGAAGCAAUGGAAGGAAGAAGAAGGAGAAAUAAAGGAGGAC
Long non-coding RNA from Portunus trituberculatus (swimming crab), 178 nucleotides. RefSeq lists it as uncharacterized. The transcript is spliced from 3 exons. The record is from RefSeq and is a predicted model, not a curated record. Lineage: Eukaryota; Metazoa; Arthropoda; Malacostraca; Decapoda; Portunidae.